This is a long non-coding RNA of Misgurnus anguillicaudatus (oriental weatherfish), 9617 nucleotides long. RefSeq lists it as uncharacterized. NCBI's taxonomy places the organism in Eukaryota, Metazoa, Chordata, Actinopteri, Cypriniformes, Cobitidae. The record is from RefSeq and is a predicted model, not a curated record.
GAAGGAAAACCACAUGAAGAGAAGAGCAUUUCAUAUCAUUCUCAUAACUACUGUCAGUAUGUUCAUCACAUAUACUCCAUGCACUUUUUCAGGAAUCUAUUGCAUUAUGAUAGACCAGUAUGUUGAUGAAACCAUUGUAAUUAGUUUGAUCUUUUUUGUUGUUGCUGGUUUCGUUCAGCCUGUUCUUUAUCUGCACCAGGCUGGAAAACUUUUAUGUUCAUGAUUAAACCUGUCAUUGUGAAUUUAAUUCCAAAACUUUUAUAUUUUUGGAUAGGAAAGUUGUACAUUUCCUUUAUCAAUUAUUUUAAUUUAAAACUAAUUGUCACUUUUCUUUAUAUAAGAGUUAAUUAUGUAGUUAAAGGAGGAAUAUGGAAUAAAAAAAAUAAUACCAGUCUAUUAUUACUUAUCAUCUACUAAAAGUGUGCGGUUUGUGUCUAGAAACAUUGUCCUCUGCUUUUUUUACCUGGCUGUGAUCUACUGUAACCUUUCUGAAGUUCAAACAUCUCAGAUAUAAAAAUCUCUGAGUAAAAGUGGUUUUAACACAAGUUAUAAUGCAAGAUAUUUGGAUGUUACACAAGUUUACUUCUGUGCAUUAUCUUUUCAAGCACUCUGCCUCAAAAAUCUGACAAAGCUAAAGUUAAGCUGAGAUUUCUCAUCCAGUUUUUGUACAGCUCUUUCAUGCAGUGUAAGACAUUUAAUGGUAACAUAUUCAAAAACCAUUUUGCAUAAAAAAAACAAGAAUAUGCACAUUAAUGAUUAAAAAUACAUAUUUAGUGAGUGUGGUGAAGGUUUUAACUAAUGAGAAACUGAAACAACAAUCUCUUCAAUCUUUUAUAACAGAAGACAGUAGAGCCACAUAGUUAUUAAUAUAAAAGCCACUGGUUCAUCAUAAACGGUGGCUCAUAAACAAAUGCUAAAAGGUUAAAAGAUAUCUAACAGACAUUGAUCAUUCAAGAACACAUCUGAUGACAUAAUUAAAUUCAGGCUACAUACUGUAGAGCCCAGUUGCAACAAUACCCAGCUUGUAUUAAAUGGCUAUGUUUUUAAAAUACAUGCAAAAAUUUUAACAAGAAAAAUGUAUUUAAAAGCCUUCUAACUUAGAGGAAACAGGUAGACAGAUAUGGUAAUUUUCCCUGAUUAGGCCUACUACACAUCAAAGCAUGAGUUAAACCACUGGCUCGAACAGUUAACAUUUCUACACAUAUACACAUACAGAAAGAGAGUGAUCAACGUGUAUCAAAUAAAUAAAUUAAAUUAUAAAACACCCAAAACAACUUAAAUUUAAAAACCAUUCACAGCACUCAGACAGAGAGAAGCACGCGCGCCCUCUAGUGCUCAAAUAAUAGAUACAGAUUUACGAGUUGAUGUGCAAAAGCUUUACAUUUACAUCAAUUAAAUUAUAGAAAAUGUAAGAGUUUAAAGUGGUAAAAGAACAUAUUUAUUAUUUAUUUUAACAUGGCAAAAUUUUAUACAAUGAUUUUUGAAGUACAAUUAAAACAAACCUAUAUCGUGAAUUCGUCUUUCAAACAUCUAACGGUUAAUAAAAAUUCCGUAGUCAUAUUAUUGUACAUCUAGCGUUAAUGUCGUAAUCUUAGACCCCCGCAUUGGGUUUUUAUGCAAGCAUUUUUUUUAUUAUAAUGAAUUUAAUUGACAUAAACCCAAAGUAGACAGUCAAAAUAACACAACAAUACAAUGAACAGUAAACAUAAACAUAAAGCCAGGGAGAAGUAAAUGAGGAAUUACACAAACAUAUUAAAAGAUUUACAUAUUGCAUAUGUUUUACUUGCUUUCUUAUUACUUGAGAAAAAAUGUCUUUAUAUACAUUUUAAUUCGCUAGAAAUGCGUUUUGUCUGUUUCUGUCUAAACCGUCACCGGCGUCACGUGACACAGACGCGAUCUUUUUAUUUUUUUUACAGACGCGAUUCCUUCUAUGACCUAAUAUGGAAUCCAUGACGACAUAGAACGCCAGCUCUCCGGCUAUAUAAAGCGCAGUUCCACUGAGUUAUUCUGUGAUGAGUUUAGGAAGAGAACGGUCAACCUUAAAACACUCUGCUGAGGACAGUGCAGUGCAGGUAGGGGAGGAAACAUCUUAAACCUUAUUAAGCAUUAGAAAAAAAAACACUUGUGUAAACGCUAACUGCGAAUUCGUUUAUAAUUAUGAUAAUUAAUUCAUGUGUUUUUAUUAGAGAUACAGAGAUAUAUGUUAUGCGUCGUGUAAAUUGACCCGAAAAGUUUUGGAAACGAAUCGCUUAACAAAGCGUUAUUUACAAUAGAAUACUUUAAAACCUUUAAACGUCCAAAAUAAUUUUUUUAACUCAAACAUCAAACAAACGUCGCAUAGAUAAUCAAAACGAGCCCACAUUGUAUGAGACUGUGCCCUUAAGGCAAUUUUUCACCACAGGGACCGUUUAAUCCUACAGAAAAAUCCAGCUAAGACCAGCAUAAACUGGUAGCUGGUUUAAGCUGGUUUUAGCUGGUUUAAGGUGGCAGUAGCUGGUCCAAGCCUGGCAAUGCUUGCAAAACCAGCUUAAACCAAAUUUUUCAGUAGAGAAGAGAAGUAGCUUUCACUGUAAAGGUGUAAAGGAAUGGCCCUACUUUUAAAACACCUACGGUAAGCAUAGUAAACACUUUGUUUUUAAACAUCAACUUUUGCGCUUAUGAUAAUUAAUUGACUUACUUUUAUAAAUCAGAAAUAAUUCUGCGUCAAGUAAAUGAACACAAAAGGCAGAUGUAAAUGAACAAAAAAGGCAGAUGUAAAGGCAAUAAAUAAAUAAAUAACAAAACACUACGAUUAGAUGUUGGGUCCUGCUUUGUAAUGUAGUAAUAUGGUAAUAAUAAACACCAUUUGAUAACAUUGCUUUUGCUAAUAUAAUACUUGACAUGUUUAUUAAAUUAAUGAUAAUUAUGCUAAAUAGAAAUGUAUUUACGCUAAAUGUAAAUAGAAAUGCUAACAAAUUCAAUUAGAUGUGGAGUCCUGCCCUUGAUGGGUGGGUGGCUCACAGAGCAGAGCUAUAUAGUUAUUUACCAUAAAAUAUUUAGAUACCUUGUUUUAAAACGUCCCAAAACUAUUUUGGAAUCAAACCCGCAAAAAUAAUUAUUUUCAAAACAUGCCAGCCACGUCGACCCACUUUACAAUACUUAUGAUAAAUUUGUCAUAUUUUUGUCUUUCUAUUAACUUGUUUUCUUCUUUGAGUUUAAUUUUUAAACAGAUAGUAAAACACUUGAUCAGUUCAGUUUAUAUAUUAAAUAAAAAAUUUACUUUAAUCGUCUCAAAACUUUAGGUUGCUCGAAGGUCCUUGUUAUUAGAUUUUGGGACUGGCAUAAAGACAGGAAUGGCCCUACUUUUAAAACACCUAAGCAUCUAAUGUAAAGACCUUGUUUUUUUAAUAUUACAAGUUUUUCUAACAUAAUAAUCAAUAGAUUUAUAUUUUUUAUAGAGAUUAUUAUCCAUCGUGUACAUACGUUAAAACAGAUGUAAAGGCCAACAAGUUAUUUUUAAUUAAACACUUAACUAAUACGAUUAGAAGUAGGGUACUGCCCUGUAAUGUGGGUUGUUGGCUCACAGGGCAGGGCCCUAUAGUUAUUUAUUAUGAAAAUAUCUAAAUACCUUGUUUCAAAAUGUUUCAUAACCGAACAAUCCCGACGAGAGGUGUCUAGAGCAUACGUGCAAGCGGGACAGGGCCGUCUGCCAUCCUGGAAGCCUUGGACUUCCAGGGUGUCUGACCCUACCGGCAAAGCCCAAAGACAGGACUCAAAAAUGGGUGUGCAGGCGGGACAGGGCCGCCUGCCAUCCUGGAAGCCUUGGACUUCUAGGGUCUCCAACCCUACCGUCAAAUCUUGACAAUAAGUCUUGGGUGGGACAGGGCUGCCUGCCAUCCUGGAAGUUUUUGAUUUCCAGGGUCUCUGACUACCACCAGAGCCUGAGGAGAGGUGUCCAGAGCAUACACGCAAGCAGGACAGGGCUGCGUGCCGUGCUGGCAGUCUUGGACUUCCAGGGUCUCUGACCUUACCUGCCAAUCCUGACAAAAGGUGUCCAGAGCAUACGCGCAAGUGGGACAGGGCCACUUGCCGUCCUGCAAGUCUUGUUCUUUUAGGGUCUUUGACCCUAUUGGCAGAGCCAGAUGAGAAAUGUCCAGAGCAUAUGCGCAAGCGGGACAGGGCCGCCUGCCAUCCUGGAAGUCUUGGACUUCCAGGGUGUCUGACCCUACCGGCCAAGCUUGACGAGAGGUGUCCAGAGCAUACGCGCAAGCGGGACAGGGCCGCCUGCCAUUCUGGAAGUCUUGGACUUCCAGGGUGUCUGACCCUACCGGCCAAGCUUGACAAGAGGUGUACAGAGCAUACGCGCAAGCGGGACAGGGCCGCUUGCCAUCCUAAAAGUCUUGGACUUUCAGGGUGUCUGACCCUACCGGCCGAGCCCAAAGACAGGACUCACAAACGGAUGCGCAGGCGGGACAGGGCCAGCUGCUCUACUGGAAGUCUUGGACUUCCAGGGUGUCUGACCCUACCGGUCAAGCAAGACGAGGUGUCCAGAGCAUACGCGCAAGCGGGACAGGGGCGCCUGCCAUCCUGGAAGUCUUGGACUUCUAGGGUCUCCGACCUUACUGUCAAAGCAUGACAAUAAGUCUUGGGUGGGACAGGGCUGCCUGCCAUCCUGGAAGUUUUUGAUUUCCAGGGUCUCUGACUACCACCAGAGCCUGACGAGAGGUGUCCAGAGCAUACACGCAAGCGGGACAGGGCCGCCUGCCAUCCUGGAAGUCUUGGACUUCCAGGGUCUCUGACCUUACCUGCCAAUCCUGACAAAAGGUGUCCAGAGCAUACGCGCAAGUGGGACAGGGCCACUUGCCGUCCUGAAAGUCUUGUUCUUCUAGGGUCUUUUACCCUAUUGGCAGAGCCAGAUGAGAAAUGUCCAGAGCAUAUGCGCAAGCGGGACAGGGACGCCUGCCAUUCUGGAAGUCUUGGACUUCCAGGGUGUCUGACCCUACCGGCCAAGCUUGACGAAGGGUGUACAGAGCAUACGCACAAGCGGGACAGGGCCGCUUGCCAUCCUAGCAGUCUUGGACUUCCAGGGUAUCUGACCCUACCGGCCAAGCCCAAAGACAGGACUCAGGUCUCUGACCCUACCGUCAAAGCUUGACAAUAAGUCUUGGGUGGGACAGGGCCACCUGCCAUCCUGGAAGUUUUGGACUUCUAGGGUCUCCAACCCUACCGUCAAAGCUUGACAAUAAGUCUUGGGUGGGACAGGGCUGCCUGCCAUCCUGGAAGUUUUUGAUUUCCAGGGUCUCUGACUACCACCAGAGCCUGACGAGAGGUGUCCAGAGCAUACACGCAAGCGGGACAGGGCCGCCUGCCGUCCUGGAAGUCUUGGACUUCCAGGGUCUCUGACCUUACCUGCCAAUCCUGACAAAAGGUGUCCAGAGCAUACGCGCAAGUGGGACAGGGCCACUUGCCGUCCUGCAAGUCUUGUUCUUUUAGGGUCUUUGACCCUAUUGGCAGAGCCAGAUGAGAAAUGUCCAGAGCAUAUGCGCAAGCGGGACAGGGCCGCCUGCCAUUCUGGAAGUCUUGGACUUCCAGGGUGUCUGACCCUACCGGCCAAGCUUGACGAGAGGUGUACAGAGCAUACGCGCAAGCGAGACAGGGCCGCUUGCCGUCCUAGAAGUCUUGGACUUCCAGGGUCUCUGACUCUACCGUUCAAGCUUGAUGAUAAGUCUUGGACGGGACAGGGCUGCCUGCCAUGCUGAAUGUUUUUGAUUUCCGGGGUCUCUGACUACUGGCCGAGCCUGACAAGACUUGUCCAGAGCAUACACGCAAGCGGGACAGGGGCGCCUGCCAUCCUGGAAGUCUUGGACUUCUAGGGUCUCCGACCUUACUGUCAAAGCUUGACAAUAAGUCUUGGGUGGGACAGGGCCACCUGCCGUCCUGGAAGUCUUGGACUUCCAGGGUCUCUGACCUUACCUGCUAAUCCUGACAAGAAGUGUCCAGAGCAUACGCGCAAGUGGGACAGGGCCACCUGCCGUCCUGCAAGUCUUGUUCUUCUAGGGUCUUUGACCCUAUUGGUAGAGCCAGAUGAGAAAUGUCCAGGUUCCAGGGUGUCUGACCCUAGCGGCCAAGCUCGGCGAGAGGUGUCAAGAGCACACGCAAGCGGGACAGGGCCGCCUGCCAUCCUGAAAGUCUUGGACUACCAGGGUGUCUGACCCUACCGGCCAAGCUUGACGAAGGGUGUACAGAGCAUACGCGCAAGCGGGACAGGGCCGCUUGCCAUCCUAGCAGUCUUGGACUUCCAGGUCUCCGACCCUACCGUCAAAGCUUGACAAUAAGUCUUGGGUGGGACAGGGCCACCUGCCAUCCUGGAAGUCUUGGACUUCUAGGGUAUCUGACCCUACCGUGAAAGCUUGACAAUAAGUCUUGGGUGGGACAGGGCUGCCUGCCAUUCUGGAAGUUUUUGAUUUCCAGGGUCUCUGACUACCACCAGAGCCUGACGAGCGGUGUCCAGAGCAUACACGGAAGCGGGACAGGGCCGCAUACCGUCCUGGAAGUCUUGGACUUCCAGGGUCACUGACCUUACCUGCUAAUCCUGACAAAAGGUGUCCGGAGCAUACGCGCAAGUGGGACAGGGCCACUUGCCAUCCUACAAGUCUUGUUCUUUUAGGGUCUUUGACCCUAUUGGCCAAGCUUGACGAGAGGUGUCCAGAGCAUACACGCAAGCGGGACAGGGCCGCCUGCCGUCCUGGAAGUCUUGGACUUCCAGGGUCUCUGACCCUACCAGCCAAGCUUGACAAGAGGUGUACAGAGCAUACGCGCAAGCGGGACAGGGCCGCUUGCCAUCCUAGAAGUAUUGGACUUCUAGGGUGUCUGACCCUACCGGCCGAGCCCAGAAACAGUACUCAAAAACGGGUGCUCAGGUGGGACAGGGCCAGCUGCUCUACUGGAAGUAUUGGACUUCCAGGGUGUCUGACCCUACCGGCCAAGCUUGAAGAGAGGUGUACAGAGCAUACGCGCAAGCGGGACAGGGCCGCUUGCCAUCCUAGAAGUCUUGAACUUCUAGGGUCUCCAACCCUACCGUCAAAGCUUGGCUUUAAGUCUUGGGUGGGACAGGGCUGCCUGCCAUCCUGGAAGUUUUUGAUUUCCAGGGUCUCUGACUACCACCAGAGCCUGACGAGAGGUGUCCAGAGCAUACACGCAAGUGGGACAGGGCCGCCUGCCGUGCUGAAAGUCUUGGACUUCCAGGGUGUCUGACCCUAGCGGCCAAGCUCUGCGAGAGGUAUCAAGAGCACACGCAAGCGGGACAGGGCCGCCUGCCAUCCAGGAAGUCUUGGACUUCCAGGGUGUCUGACUCUACCGGCCAAGCUUGACGAGAGGUGUACGGAGCAUACGCGCAAGUGGGACAGGGCCGCUUGCCAUCCUAGAAGUCUUGGACUUCCAGGGUGUCUGACCUUACCGGCCGAGCCCAAAGACAGGACUCACAAACUGAUGCACAGGCAGGACAGGGCCACCUGUUGUCCUGGAAGUUUUGGACUUCCAGGGUCUCCGACCCUACCGGCAGAGCCCGACGAGAAGUCUUCGACUUCCAGGGUGUCUGUUCCUAACAGCUGAGCCCACAGAUAGAACUCAGCAACGGAUGCACAGGUGGGACAGGGCCCCUGUUGUCCUGGAAGUUUUGGACUUCCAACCCUACUGGCCAAUCCUGAUGAGGUGUCCAGAGCAUACGCGCAGGCAGGACAAGACCACUUGCCGUCCUGCAAGUCUUGGACUUCUGGAAGUCUUGGACUUCUGGAACUCUUGGACUUCCAGGGUGUCCUACCCUACCGCCCUAGCCCAAAGAAAGGACUCAGGAGCAUAUGCGUAGUUGGCACAGGACUUCCAGGGUGUCCGACCUUUCCUGCUUAGCCCCGAAGCAAGGACUCUGAAGAGGACACGCAGGCGGGACAGGGCCGCCUGACGUCCUGGAAGUCUUGGACCUCCGGACGGCCGAGCCCAAGGAGAGAGCUCACCCCUAUACACGGUCAUGGUCGGCAUUGGCCAUUACAUUGACGUUGUGAAAACGCUUUCGAGAAAUCGUAAGAGGGAGAGGCUCACAUAGCGUCAGCUUCAAACGCAAUGUCGAGAGACUGUUCUCGAAAGGGAACAACGUAAAGCUAGGCAAACGCUAAACAUACUAGCCUAAACUGAACUAUAAACAUAACAGUAAACUAAACUUUAAAUAACUAGACUUAAUAGACUUCAUACAGGAAACUUACAAAUAAAUCAGCACAGGACAGCAAACACAAGCUUAUCAAGGGGUCAACAGGUGUGAGGCAAGAUAAUUAACCCAAUUAACAACAAAGGAAACAAUGACAUGUUCUUCCACACAAAACAAGUAACGUUGUCACGAUCCUGACAAAAGACUAGAAAAGCAUGAAUGAUAGAGGCAGGAUCGUGACAUAUGGUGAAAUUGUCAUAUUUGUCAUAUCUUUAACUUCUUCUGUGAGUUCAAUUUGUUUUACAGAUAGUAAAAACAGUUGAUUGAAUGUUGUUAGAUGACCAACUCAUAUCUUAGAUCGCUCUAUCGUGUUCGGCUAUCAACUCUCAGCAUCAAUAAUGAGGCACUUGAGGAGUGGCAGGCUGUGCAAAAGGGCACAUCUCAAAACAUGCAGCUGGACAAUAAUACCAUAGGUAGGAAGCUGCAGAUGGGGGAAAAGACAGAGAGGACCAGGCUCAAUGACUGAUGGAAAGCUCUACAUACAGGCAUCAGUCAAUCAGAACACCUGAGAGGAUGCUGCACAUUCACUGUGAUGAAACUGUGAAGACAACUCAGACAGAGACUGAAAACAACACCACUGAAAUCACAAAGCAUUCAAGAGACGGACACGCGCCUCCGCCAAUAAUAACAUAAUAAAAGUAAAUAAAGAUAUAAAAGAUGAAAGUGCUUCUUCCAGUGCUGCUUCCAGGACCGAAAUUGCCUGUUUAGAGCCAAUUUAACAUAGAAUAUUUAUGUAAUAAAAACAGAAAUAUUCUGGGAGAAAAAAGAGCAGUGCGACGCGGCUUUUCAUAUUGCUAAGCAACCACCGAGUCAGCUGUCUUGUCAAUCAAAUAUUGAAGCGUGAGCGCUCUUUUGCUGUUAACUGUCAUAUUAGCAGAAACUUUAAAAAGAGGGCGCUUGCUCUGACCUUGUUUGAGGGUGAGAGGUGCACAAACACACAGGAGACAGUGAGCGAGUGGAGUCCGGCUCUUCAAAGCAACUGUAAACUUCACUCACUACAACAUAAGGCCCGCCUCUCCCCUCAUUCGAUUGGACAAUGGAAAGACGCGAAUGACGUCGGGCACUUCUUCGCUCUCAGCGCUCCUUCAAAAACGCAAACGCGCCCUGCCCAUAGAAUAUCAUUCAAAAAAGGCGCCUGCAACUGCCAUAAACGCUUUUGGUGUGACUGGCCCAAACUUUAAAGGUUUCAUUAGCGUGCAGUGUCCUCAAUAUUAUUUCUGCGUAUACGUUCAUGCAGAUUUUGCCCGGAUUAUUGAAUGUACAGACCCUUUUAUGGACAUUAUUUAUGGUUAUAUUAAAGGAGUUAUGCAGUCCAAAACAGAUGUUUACUGUAGUAAAACCAUGUUUUGCCAAUGGUAAUCAAUAAAGCAAGACAACAUGG